GUACGGAGGGUGCAAGCGUUAUCCGGAAUCAUUGGGUUUAAAGGGUCCGCAGGCGGACUAAUAAGUCAGUGGUGAAAUCCUCUCGCUUAACGAGAGAACUGCCAUUGAAACUGUUAGUCUUGAAUUCGGUCGAAGUAGGCGGAAUGUGUCAUGUAGCGGUGAAAUGCAUAGAUAUGACACAGAACACCGAUAGCGAAGGCAGCUUACUAGACCUGGAUUGACGCUCAUGGACGAAAGCGUGGGGAGCGAACAGGAUUAGAAACCCUAGUAGUCC
This 274-nucleotide ribosomal RNA is filed under the name uncultured bacterium. RNAcentral describes it as "partial 16S ribosomal RNA". It matches the Rfam family "Bacterial small subunit ribosomal RNA", at positions 523 to 796 of the family's 1533-position model. The record is from RNAcentral.